GACGAACGCUGGCGGCGUGCCUAAUACAUGCAAGUUGAGCGCUGAAGGUUGGUACUUGUACCAACUGGAUGAGCAGCGAACGGGUGAGUAACGCGUGGGGAAUCUGCCUUUGAGCGGGGGACAACAUUUGGAAACGAAUGCUAAUACCGCAUAAAAACUUUAAACACAAGUUUUAAGUUUGAAAGAUGCAAUUGCAUCACUCAAAGAUGAUCCCGCGUUGUAUUAGCUAGUUGGUGAGGUAAAGGCUCACCAGGGCGAUGAUACAUAGCCGACCUGAGAGGGUGAUCGGCCACAUUGGGACUGAGACACGGCCCAAACUCCUACGGGAGGCAGCAGUAGGGAAUCUUCGGCAAUGGACGAAAGUCUGACCGAGCAACGCCGCGUGAGUGAAGAAGGUUUUCGGAUCGUAAAACUCUGUUGGUAGAGAAGAACGUCGGUGAGAGUGGAAAGCUCAUCAAGUGACGGUAACGACCCAGAAAGGGACGGCUAACUACGU
Molecule: ribosomal RNA, 496 nt
Filed under: uncultured bacterium
Lineage: Bacteria
Description: partial 16S ribosomal RNA
Rfam family: Bacterial small subunit ribosomal RNA
Source: RNAcentral